CCUACGGGAGGCAGCAGUGGGGAAUUUUGGACAAUGGGGGAAACCCUGAUCCAGCCAUGCCGCGUGCGGGAAGAAGGCCUUCGGGUUGUAAACCGCUUUUGGUCGGAAAGAAAAGGCGCACCCUAAUACGGGGCGCUCUUGACGGUACCGGCAGAAUAAGCACCGGCUAACUACGUGCCAGCAGCCGCGGUAAU
This 194-nucleotide ribosomal RNA is filed under the name uncultured bacterium. RNAcentral describes it as "partial 16S ribosomal RNA". It matches the Rfam family "Bacterial small subunit ribosomal RNA", at positions 338 to 524 of the family's 1533-position model. The record is from RNAcentral.